CUUGAUCGAGCCGAGCAGCAGCGGCCGGUCGGCCGGACGGUCCCGCCCGUACGUGGCCAGCAGGGCCUGCGCCUC
Molecule: antisense RNA, 75 nt
Filed under: Micromonospora marina
Lineage: Bacteria; Bacillati; Actinomycetota; Actinomycetes; Micromonosporales; Micromonosporaceae
Description: ASpks TB sRNA
Rfam family: ASpks TB sRNA
Source: RNAcentral